GCUGGCGGCAGGCCUAACACAUGCAAGUCGACCGGUAACAGGAAGCAGCUUGCUGCUUUGCUGACGAGUGGCGGACGGGUGAGUAAUGUCUGGGAAACUGCCCGAUGGAGGGGGAUAACUACUGGAAACGGUAGCUAAUACCGCAUAACGUCGCAAGACCAAAGAGGGGGACCUUAGGGCCUCUUGCCAUCGGAUGUGCCCAGAUGGGAUUAGCUAGUAGGUGGGGUAAUGGCUCACCUAGGCGACGAUCCCUAGCUGGUCUGAGAGGAUGACCAGCCACACUGGAACUGAGACACGGUCCAGACUCCUACGGGAGGCAGCAGUGGGGAAUAUUGCACAAUGGGCGCAAGCCUGAUGCAGCCAUGCCGCGUGUAUGAAGAAGGCCUUCGGGUUGUAAAGUACUUUCAGCGGGGAGGAAGGGAGUAAAGUUAAUACCUUUGCUCAUUGACGUUACCCGCAGAAGAAGCACCGGCUAACUCCGUGCCAGCAGCCGCGGUAAUACGGAGGGUGCAAGCGUUAAUCGGAAUUACUGGGCGUAAAGCGCACGCAGGCGGUUUGUUAAGUCAGAUGUGAAAUCCCCGGGCUCAACCUGGGAACUGCAUCUGAUACUGGCAAGCUUGAGUCUCGUAGAGGGGGGUAGAAUUCCAGGUGUAGCGGUGAAAUGCGUAGAGAUCUGGAGGAAUACCGGUGGCGAAGGCGGCCCCCUGGACGAAGACUGACGCUCAGGUGCGAAAGCGUGGGGAGCAAACAAGAUUAGAUACCUGGGUAGUCCACGCCGUAAACGAUGUCGACUGGAGGGUUGUGGCCCUGAGGCGUGGCUUCCGGAGCUAACGCGUUAAGUCGACCGCCUGGGGAGUACGGCCGCAAGGUUAAAACUCAAAUGAAUUGACGGGGGCCCGCACAAGCGGUGGAGCAUGUGGUUUAAUUCGAUGCAACGCGAAGAACCUUACCUGGUCUUGACAUCCACGGAAGUUUUCAGAGAUGAGAAUGUGCCUUCGGGAACCGUGAGACAGGUGCUGCAUGGCUGUCGUCAGCUCGUGUUGUGAAAUGUUGGGUUAAGUCCCGCAACGAGCGCAACCCUUAUCCUUUGUUGCCAGCGGUCCGGCCGGGAACUCAAAGGAGACUGCCAGUGAUAAACUGGAGGAAGGUGGGGAUGACGUCAAGUCAUCAUGGCCCUUACGACCAGGGCUACACACGUGCUACAAUGGCGCAUACAAAGAGAAGCGACCUCGCGAGAGCAAGCGGACCUCAUAAAGUGCGUCGUAGUCCGGAUUGGAGUCUGCAACUCGACUCCAUGAAGUCGGAAUCGCUAGUAAUCGUGGAUCAGAAUGCCACGGUGAAUACGUUCCCGGGCCUUGUACACACCGCCCGUCACACCAUGGGAGUGGGUUGCAAAAGAAG
RNAcentral lists this ribosomal RNA (1401 nucleotides) under uncultured bacterium. RNAcentral describes it as "bacterial SSU rRNA". It matches the Rfam family "Bacterial small subunit ribosomal RNA". The record is from RNAcentral.